This 232-nucleotide long non-coding RNA is filed under the name Elaeis guineensis (African oil palm). RNAcentral's name for it is "long non-coding RNA (EGUI_LNC039752)". Lineage: Eukaryota; Viridiplantae; Streptophyta; Magnoliopsida; Arecales; Arecaceae. The record is from RNAcentral.
CGAGUCAAAUCUGAAUGCAUCCCAUCGCUAACUAUUUAAAGGGGGCUGCAUUGGGGAUUCAUUUCAUUCAGAUUUCUAAUUCUUUCUCUUCUUUCCUACAUCCUCUCUCUAUUGUCCAAUUAGUAUAUUUCUUUUUUUGUUAGGACAAGUCCAAAAAUAUUAAAGACAAGUCUGAUUUUAGGAUAAAGACCUAGGAAGAGAUUUAAGGAAGAUAAGGAGACAAGAAAGGUAG